Pongo abelii (Sumatran orangutan) is the source of this 148-nucleotide unclassified non-coding RNA. It matches the Rfam family "Metazoan signal recognition particle RNA". Rfam says of the family: The signal recognition particle (SRP) is a universally conserved ribonucleoprotein. It is involved in the co-translational targeting of proteins to membranes. The record is from Ensembl. NCBI's taxonomy places the organism in Eukaryota, Metazoa, Chordata, Mammalia, Primates, Hominidae.
GCCAGGCACAGUGGCGUGUGCCUGUAAUCUCAGCUACUCAGGAGGCUGAGGCAGGAGAAUCGCUUGAACCCAGGAGGCAGAGGUUGCAGUGAGCCGAGAUCGCGCCAUUGCACUCCAACCUGGGUGACAGAGCGAGACUCUGUCUCAA